Long non-coding RNA from Cavia porcellus (domestic guinea pig), 12784 nucleotides. RefSeq lists it as uncharacterized. The record is from RefSeq and is a predicted model, not a curated record. The transcript is spliced from 2 exons. NCBI's taxonomy places the organism in Eukaryota, Metazoa, Chordata, Mammalia, Rodentia, Caviidae.
UCCAAAUGAAAAACCAGAGCUCAUAACAAUGCCUCCCAUGAGUCCAACUGGAGGUUCACAGUCCACAAGAAAGACUCAUGCUGGUCUCUUUUACAGAUCCAUGCCUAGAAGACCCAAAGAUCAGCAGUGGAAGCCAGAAAGUCUAUGUCGGCGGUGUGAAGGAGCUGUGAUGGUGGGAUGAGGGUUCUACGCUGGGGCCAAGAAGUCACAAUCACAAGAAAGACCAGGGCUGUCCUGAAAUGCACUAUAGCCACCCUCAGCGAUACGAAGGCCGCGAGCUCCUCCAACAAUAAGCACAGGAAGUACAUGCCAGGAAGCCAGCGUGAGGAGUUCAUCCUGGAGACCAAAAGGCACACAUCUUCCCCUCCAGAGCCAAGAAACAAUGCUUGGAGGACCAGAGCUUCUCCAGGAGAACCACAGCUCAAACAGCAGUGCACAGGAGAUCCCACAAUACCUCAAUGCCUCAACGCAUUAAUGUGUCAACACCACUUCUCCUUCUCUACAUCUCCAUUUAUGCUGGCAACCUUCCUCAAGUCAAACAUCUACACUCAGCAGCAUGGUGAUUCAAUUCCGCUGGUGUUGACCACCAGUUUUUAAUCCAUGACAGCCACUGUUCAGCAAAUUAAAAUAAAGGAUACAUUUGUAUUUCAUGUAAGCGAAUCACUUCUAGUGUGAAUACGUUUGGAGCAUAUUUGGGGCCUGAAACGAGGGAGAGGACUGGGGCAGGAAUGACUACUCCCAGUCACAGAAAAGGAAACAGGAAUGAGGAGGGUUAGCACAGUGGCCCGAGACGCACGGCAAGAAGAGCUGUCACUGGGAUUUAAACCAGGGCUGCUGACCCUACAACCCGGGCUUUCCCACGACAGUGUGCUGCUGCCUCUACUGAAUGUCACAACAAUCCUGCAGUGCAUGACAGUUUUCAAAACACUUUCAGAUGCACGAUCUUAAUUAAUCUUCACAGGAGCCUUAUGAGGAAGCUGUCACAUCUCAUUAUUUCUGAGAGACUCUUUGCCUUUUUAACUCUUUAACAUCACUGGCUCCCGAUGCAUUUCAUUGUCACGUUGUACACAAGCCUCAUGGACCAUGCUGUGUCUCUCUGCCUCAGGACUGCAUAAAUGGUGGCAUCUUGGAUUCAAUUCAAUGCAACAUGGUUAUGUACUUUCUGAGCUGAGGUGAUACACACAAGGAAGGCUGUUUGGUAGCCAAGGUGGUAGAAAGUGUAAUUAAUGUCUUUUCAACUUCUUCCUCCCCACAGGCCAGAAGGAAAUCGUACACUGUCUCUCCAUGAUACGCAUGAAACUACUGAGUUUGGUGAAAUCUUGCAGAUCCGCGUUUGCUCCAGACAGGAGGGCAACUAGAUGACAACUUCCAGGGCUAGACACAGUGUCCUAAACAUGAAAGAUGGAGGAGGCAGAGGUGGAAGCUGGCUCUCUGAAGUUGUCCUGCUUCUGGCCGGCCAGCUGGAGUGCAGGGCUGACGCCGUGCAAGGGCUUGCUCCAAGCUUGGGUCCUCGCCCAAUGGCUUCAUGCCUCAGGCAGUCCUGCCACCGCCUCUUUCCCCCGGAGCUGGGUCUGCAGUCUAGACAGUGCUGGAGGCGAUCACACUUGACAUAGAGCCCAAACUUCCCAGCAUGUCUUCACAUAGUCUUGUGCCAACAGCUGGAUCGUUGGGCUCCAAAGAGCCAAUAUCAGGAAGGAAACUUCACUGGAAAAAGAGAAACACAUUCUGCAGGAAAGAGAAGAAAAAUGAGACCUGAUCCCAAGCUGACAGAUCUAAAAUUGAUUUGAUUUCCACUUGCAGAGUCACGUUUGUAAGAGGAAGGGGCAUCAGUCUACAAAAGGAUCACUUCCAAAGGAGUGGGUGGGAAGGCUAAAGAAUUGGAGGCAUGUGGCAAGGUGAUCCUUCUUUGCCUGAAAGAGAUUGUCCUAGACCAGGAAUGCACCUGCAGGUCCCCCUCUGCUGAUAAUAAUUGAUUACACCUCACUCAGCUCCUGUCGCAAAUCACUCGAACCUCACAUCAUAGAGGUCAACAUUAAUGCUCUCAUUUUAGAGGCAAAGAAAUAGAGUCUACGAGACCUCAGUGACCUCACUGAAGCCGGCCAAUUGGCUUAUGAAUGGCCGAGCUUCAGGUUGAGACUGGUCAGGCUUUGUGCUCCAUUCCUACUUCAAAAACCCACAGCUCCUGGAAGUGUGAGGAAAUAGGAAUAGAGAUCAUGUUUGGUUUGAGGAAUCUGGCUGAAAUCAGGGGAGAAAACGAGGUAGAGUAAAGAGAGAAAAGUGUUUAGAAAGGGCUUAAGGAUGAGUGCUGUGUCCUGUGCGUGCCGAUGUAUAGGAAUGCAGACAUCUUCAGGAUGUGUCUGGACAGGAGGUGGAAGGAGCUGGCAUCAGGAGGGUCACAGUCUAAAUCUAAGAAGAUAAAGACUUAGACUAGGGAAGAGGUCUCAGAUUAAAAGAAUUGGAGGGUUAGGAAGUGGAUGAUGGUCUGCUCCCUCCUGAUGCAGGAAAGUGUGUGUGUGUGUGUGUGUGUGUGUGUGUGUAUGUGUGUGUGUGUGUGUGUGUGUGUGUGUGUGUCUGUCUGUCUGUAAUAGCAACCUGCUUCCUCCAAAGCAACCAAAUUUGCUCAUGGCUGGCAGAGUGGCAGCUGUGCCACUUACACUGGUGCCAUUAUGCCAGUGACGCAGCUUCCCUUCCCUUGCUCCUGUCUGUAUAGCAGAGGGAAGUUACCUCUGCUACCUGUCCUGCAAGCCUUCCCGGAGAUCCUCUGCAUCCAGCUGGCUAGCAUCCUCUUCCUCAGACUUUCUGAAUCUGGUCCUUGUUCUUACUCUGGCCUCAAACAUUCUAUCCAGGUGGCUUUUCAUUUGUUUUUGUUUUGUGGUACUGGGAUUGAACCCAGUGCUUUGCUGCUGAAUUAAAUCCCCAGCUGUUUUCUCAUGUUUUAAAUUUUUGAGACAGGGUGUUGUAACAUGCUAAAUUGCAAGGGCUGGGCUCAAACUUGCAAACUUGCUGCCUCAGCCUCCCUGGGGCUGGGAUUACACGCAUAUGCUACUUGGAGUAGCUUUCUUCAAGUCUGUCUCCUUUGAUACAUUCUCAAAUCCUUGAUGAUUUUAUGUCUUUGCAACUCUAACACUUGCAUCAGCUUCUUGCAAGAAAGAGACUUGAGCUUUUCUAACCAGGGGCUCUGGGAGAGAGCAAGGGGAGAGAAACAGGAAAGAAAGCAUUUAACUUAGCAAACCAGAAACUAAGAAUCUCACUACUCUUUCUCCAAGACCUUUCGCCUUCCUUUCUUCUCCAUUUUUCAAAGCCCUUGGCUGUGAUCCUCUUGGGGGAGGCAUCUAAGAGUCUGAAAGAGGAAACUCUGCUCCUAAAGCACUGGUUCCAGUUCCAGUUCUGGUUCUGGUUCCGGUUCUGUGUCAGUGACUGGGGCAGCUCUGAAGUUGAUAAAGUUCUUUCUCUUCAUUAACAUCUCUUGCAUCCAGUGACACCUCUCCAAUGCAGUCACCGUGAUUGCACCAAAGAUGAAAAUCAGGGUCAUCUCAGGAGGUAAAGAUGGUGUCCAAGGUUACCUAGUUACCAGUGAGCAAGUCAGAACCUGAAGCCAUGCUGAUGCAUCCCCAGGGCUUCCUUGCUCUGUGAUGAACCAAAGCUCCUCAAGCUAUGAGGAUGCUGUCGGGCUUGUGAAUCAGUUACCCCAGCGUCUCAGCUGGGAGCAGGGCACAGUUCCUCUGUUCCCUGCUGGCCUUAAGGUCCCACUCAGGAGCCUGGACUGGGCAGGGCCUAGUGGGUACCACAUCCCAGACAGGACACCUGGACACAUGGAGGUGCACUAGUAGAUUUGGAUCUGUGGGUUUUUUGUUUUGUUUUGUGUUUGCCAUAGCCCAGGAUAGAUCUCUUUUGAUCAAAUGGUUUACUGUGUGCUGUGGCUGUAGCCAGGAGCCACUCACAGCUCAGGGAAUCGUUGGAUCCCUUGAGGAGCUUGUGGCUUGCUGCAGUGGGGCAGGGAUGUGGGGGCAUCCGCGAGGGCUGAGGCGGCCAUAUUGUUGGCAAGGAAGUUUGGAUGAUGACAGUGGUGUGGGCAGGAUGUUGUUUAUACAGACUACAGGGGGAGCGCCCUGAGAGCCUCCUCCAGGCACACUGCAGGUGCUCAAGUGGGCCCAUCCUCAGUCACCCCAGUGCUUGGGAAGCAGCCCCUCCUUACUCACCCCAGGGCCUGUGGUCAUCACGCAGAUGGCAUGGCCACUCUGUUCUCUAUGCUGAGUGAUUCUAACUUGGUAUCUGACCUGCUAAGUUGGUGUCUCUGAACCCUAAGUACGUGUAUGGAAAUUUGCAAAGAUUAAGGAAUUUGCCUCCAGUGGACAGGGCACCAUUGCUGGCCUGCCAAUGGCUUCUGCUGAGGUCACUAGGGUGGCAGCUGUCAGCAUUGGAACAGGAAUCAAAUGUCCCUGCCUGCACAGCUCAGCCAAGGUCUGAAUUCUGAGCUGUGAGCUUCCCACCCCACACUGAUCCCAGUUUUCCACCCUCUCUCUGCUCCUUUCUUCACUUCAUGGGAGGGAAGAGCCCUGAGGCUCAUCCAUAGGCAACUGCCAAUACCAGAGAGAUGUCGGUGGCUUUAGUCCCCUGGACUGGGCAGCAGACCUUGCCUUUUUAUCUUUGGCCAUCCCAGCUGCACACUAAGAGCUGGGAACUCUUCCUCCCACCUCCUCCAAACUCCUCUACUCUUUUCCUUUCUGUCCUGCUUUCCGUCAUGAGCUGUGUUUGCAGUCUGACUUGAAGUCCUCCAUCCCCCAUUCAGCAUCCUGAGGGAGCUGACCAGGGUCUGGAAAGGGUCUGCAGUGUCCUCUAGCAGGGUGAGCUUUCCAUGAUACUCAGAAUGGGAAGACAAGCAGGACAGAUAGAGGAUCUCAGAAUCCCUAUGCACGCAGGCAGGAGAACAGUAUCAAGUGUCCAGAUCUCACGGAAUUUGGAAGAAUCCCAGGAAAAUAAGCACUAAGUGUCUGCAGCAUACUUCGAUCUGCCAGGAAGGAAGGAAGGAAAGGAGAGAAGAGACAGAGCAAAGGAGAGGGGUGGAAAGAGCCACUGAGUCCAGCAUUCCUGACUCCUUCUCUGUGUCUCACAGUGAUGAAUGCUUUGAGACUGGAAUGAGAGAUCGAUGUUUCUAGUUCACAUUCAUCAGGAAACAAUGUGUGACUUUUGGCAAGUCAUUUCUCACUUUAAGCAUUUUUGGAAACACUCUAGCUUCCUCCCCACGCCUAUGGAUCUCAAGGUGGAAUCUUUGUCGGCCAGACUUCUUUCUGCGGUUGGAACAAAGCUGUGAACAAGGACAGUGACCGGCGUCUGCCCACUCCAUGCACAGGCCGCUGGGGUCCUGGCAGGAGUGAGGCCAGGAGGUGCGUGCAGGUGCUAAUGAGGGAAUGCAUCCAACUGUCAGUAACUGGUAACAGACUCAGACUUACCUGUCACCGUACUCAUUUACCCAGAUGCCCUGCAAGGAGUCAGGACCACUUUGCCGCCAGGUUUUUCAUCUAGGGACAGGAGCAACUCCAAGCAGUGUGUCUGUCUCAGGGCUGCUGUCUUGCGGCCUCUGCCCCAUCAAAGUGGCCUGGCUUGGCCAGAGCUUGUCCUCUCCACAGCUCCUGCUGGGUCUCCAGUCUAACUGCAGAGGAAUGAAGAGGAAGCAGGGACUGGGAGCACCCAGCACUGGUGGGAUAGGUUAAUACCUUUCUCCAGAGGCUUGCUCGGUUCUCUCCAGACUGGAUCUGUCACCCAAAGCUGCCCUGAGGAAAAACAAACCCAAAGCCCUUCUUCCUCUCAUCUGCACACUUUCUUCUCUGCACCCAGCCACUUCCUGGCUGCUUUUUGGUUUUUUGCCAUGGGGUGAAGCAGCCGUGGUUUCCCUAGACGCUGACCAAUGUGGUUGACUGAUGCUGGACUUUCAGCCCCCAGAAGUGAUAACCAAGUAGAUUUCUGCUCUUUAUAAGUUACCCAGGUCCAGACAUUUCGGAGAAUGAACCCAGGGCCUUCACACUAAGCUAGGUCUCUAGACCGUUUAAAUUUUUUUUUUUUUCUUAAUUUUGAGACAAGAUCUUGCAAUGUCACUAAGUUGCCCAGGCUGGUCUGAGAAUUGCGAUCCUCCUGCCUCAGCCUCCCAGAGUGCUGGGACUGCAGGCUUGGGUCACCAUGCAGAGCUCAUUUCACUUUUUUCUCAUAGCAACAGGAGCUGGAUUAAGUCACCAGCAUCCUCAGUGACUCCUUGCCACUCUGAGUCGGGGUGACUUGUGUGGGGUGUCCCUGUUGAGCAUGUUGCUGAAGUGACCCCCGAACAAGCUGGGGAGGAUUAGAUGUGCUCUAAGAUUCCCUGCAAUUUAAGAUUGAGGGGCUCAAGCCAUUGCUGCACCUGGAAGGCAAGGGUGUAGGGAACGAAACAGGUAUUCCAGGAAACCAAGGUCUUUAGGAUUUUUAGAAAUAACAAGGUUGGCGUAAAUACAGAUCAGCAGUCAGACUAACAGGCCCGAGUGCAGAGAACACAUGAAGCACUUAUCCUAAAUCAAGGUGCACCUUAAUCAACUGGAUCUGGAUUUAUAAAAUAAAUGAGGGAAUCUGAUACUGACAAAACACAGUUUUAAAGAUGGGGGUGGAUGGGGAAGGGAGAAAGAACUGAGGUGUGCAGCGUGUACAGACUUCCCACAGUCACGUCAGCUUCAGGAACUGCAAACAUGGACACAGAAAUAAAAACUUUAGAAAACAUCUGCCAUCCUUCCUGCAGCAGUCAGAGCAUGAUCAGGCAACCCCUGCAGGGAGCUGCAGGAGCACUGGGUAGAUCAGAUCAUGGAAAUACAAUCUCCUCCAGGGCCGAGAUCGCCUCGCUUAGACCACAGCCCCAGCUGCCUUCCAGACCCCACCUGCAGCCCAGAGCCCCUGUGGGGAGGAGCCCACCCACACCCCGCCCAGCCACAGGAGCUUUGCUGUCUUGUCUUUAUGUCUUUUAGACUAAUUUUCCUGUCCUCUGAGAAAUAAAAUAUACAGUGAGGACUUCUUUGUUUGCAAAAACAUAAACUGUCAAAGAUUAUGCACAACGAUGUAGUUGUUGAGCUUUGGAAAGUAAACAAGAAGGAAGGGAGAAAAGGAACAGAGAGAAGAAAAGAAAAGAAGAGAAAAGAAAGGAAGGAAGCCAGCAAAAAAGGAAGGAACGGAAAGGGAAAAAAAUGGAGGAAAGGAAGAAGGAAAGGAGGGAGAGAGGAAUGACAGCUGCACAAAAGAGCCCAAGAAGGCGGAAAAUAAAAGACUUAGAGAGGACCCAGGAAGACAGGGGAGAAGACAGAGAGGAGAACAAGGGGAGACAGGUGACAGGGUCAGUGCUGGGCGGGGCUGAGCGUGGCCCCCUGAUGCCCAGCUUCCCCGCCCAACAUGGUCAGGGCUGCCCCUGCCACCGUCUCUGCUCUCGGUGGCCUCCUUAGGAGAGGAUUUCUGCUGAGUCCACUUUGGAGGGACACAGGGUCAGCUGCUAGGACACUGCAGAGGGGGCACAGGUGCCAGGAAGGUGCUGGACCUCUCCAGCUCUGCGGUUCCACUUGUGCUUUUUUCUCCAGAUUAUCUUUUAAUGAGGUCACACAAAUGUGCAGUGCUAGAAAAGGAUGAAUCCUUUGAUUGAUCAUUUGGUCCAGUCCUGGGGAUGAACCUAAAGUCUUUUUACUGAGCAACAGCCCCAGUCCUUUUCUAUUUUUUGUUUGGAGAUGGAGUCUCCCUUAGUCACUAAGUUACCCAAGCAGGAUUCUUGACUCGGCUCCAACCCUCCUGCCUCAGCCUCCCAGAGUGCUGGGGUGACAGCUAUACACCACCACACCUGGCUUGAUCACUUAUUUGAAAAUGCAAAACAGGUGUUCUGUGGCAAAUAGAAGGUAGUGAUAAUCCCAGCUACAGAGGCUCCAUGGUUUGUGUCCAUCAGAGGGGAGAUUGUUUCCAUCGCUCAAGCUUCUAUUUUCUAGAGAUCCUCUGGUCCCCAAGCUCCAGUGAAAGCUCAGCGCAGAGCAUUUAUUUCCCCUGAGGGAUGCCUGCCAUUCCCUCUGUUACCAUGAAGCCUGCCAUUUCCAGCCCUCUCUGCUUUCCAGUGCAAUCCUUGGAUUUUGUUUUCUUCAUGUACAGCGUUUGCUCUCUUCUGCACAAUUUCUCUUUCCUUCUCUGAAACUUUGGAAAGUAUUUUUGUAUUCUUCUAUUUCCUGCCUUUUCUUACCAGUUUGUCUAAGGAGAAUCAGCUGUUCCCACCAUCUGGUCACAGUCUCAAGACUUAAGAAGAUUGUUCGGUGAUAAGAAAUGGCAUUAUUCCUUGGUUCAGAUAUUCAGGCUGAAUUCAAGAGAUUUGGGGGACUCCAAGCUUCAUCCGGCUGGGGAAAUAACACAGGACAGUUUUUUGAUGGUGAUAAUAUUGCAGUAACCAUCCCGAUGUACACACACACACACACACACACACACACUCACACACACAGGCAGAGGGUGCAAAGCAGACUCAGAAUGAGAUAAGUCAGACUUCUAAAUUCUGCCUCCGUCACUCACAGGCAAGGUGAUGUCGGGAUAAUUACAUAAUCCUAGAAGGCAGAUCGCAUUAUCCCAGUGCUGGAGAAGAGUGCGGAGAAGUAACCUUGCUGUUCUUUUGCUGAGCACCGCAUUACUGCUGUGCAGGUGAGCACAUAUUCAGGCUUAGCCUCCUCGCCUCCACGCUCAGAACUCAAAGCUGGAUUUGGAGGGAAGCCCUGCCAGGGGAUGGCUUCCCCUAGACACCUGCUCUGUGGGCGUCUUCAGCUCGCCCUCCCUGGCACUCUGCUAGAUACCUGGGUAUCAGAAGAGAAGUCUAGCACAUCAAGAGCAUCCUUGGGACCACCACAGAUGCUCACCUUACCUCCCCUCCAUGUGAUUGAUGGAGUUUACUGAGAGCCCCAUCCUUUGUGGACGUAACUCAGACGUUUGGGCUUAUUUCAAGCAAAGACAUAAGUUUUGCCUGUUACAAAUCUGUACUGAAGUGGGACAAUAUAAACAAAACAGUAAGAUAAAUGUGGAAUAUGAUGUCGAGAAAAUGAAUGGGGAGAGAUGAUAAUACUGGGGAGGCUGGACAGUGACCUCAGAUCAGUCACUCAGGGAAACUUUCUCCAUGAGGCAGCAGCUGCCUCUCCUGGAGGAGACCCUUGGGAAAGGGGAGAAGAUGGGUAGGAAUGAGGGUGUGCGGGCUUCUGGGGCAGAAAAAGGGAUAUGUUUUGGUUUUAUCUUAAGUGUAAUGGAAUGAAAAGAGGCUGUUCAGCUCUGGAAGUGACUGUUUUUGUAUUUCUGUUUUUGGAGCUACCUCUCUGACAUCUACGUGGAGAAGGAUUUGCAGGAAAUGCAUCAACAAAAUGCAUAAAGAUAUCUAGAAGAACAGGGGAGGGCCAGGGCAGGGUGGGCUGGGGUAGAGAGGUGGACAGGUGCAGGGAGAGUUUCACAAGGCAUGUGGAGACAAGAUGCAGGGUGCUCCAUUCUUGUUCCUUCUUUUUUUUUUUUUUUGAGACAAGGUCUCCUUGUGUAGCUCCUUCUGACCUUGCAUUCAUUAUGUAGCCCAGGCUGGCCUUGAACUGUUUGCAAUCCUCCUGUGUCAGCCUCCUGAGUGCUGGAACUACAGGAAUGCACGCUCAUACCAAGCCUUGGUCUUCUCCGAACAGUCAAUGUGGAGAGGUUUAAAAAGUCAGUGAAGAUGAGGAAGCAAGAGGCAAUCCACAAGCAAAAGAGGUCUGCCAAAGGGCCUGGCAGGGCAGGGCAGAAGCCAGGAGAGGCCAGAGACGCUGCACCUGAGGAAGGACAUGGAGGACAGGGAGCUCCAAGCUACCGUGUCCAAGCGCACCGCACCAAGGGACUCAAGUGAGCCCACCUGAAUGAAAACGACAUGGACAAAGUAUCAGAGCUGAAACCUGGAGUUUCACCUUUGUGAAGAGAUGGAGGUGGGGUAGGAAUCUUGACGUAUGUGGCCAGGAGAAGGGUGGAGACCAGUGGGGUGAGGUGACAAUGUACAAAGUUGGGCAGAAGGGCAACGGGAUGACGGAGCCAAGUUCCGGGAAAGGUGGCCCUGGGAAGUCACCUGAGAGCGCGCCCAGCAGACGGGGCUGUCUCCCCACAGGAGGGACUGUUGUCCUUGCUCUAUGCCUAAGCUUCUUUUUCUCUCAUUACACCCUCACCUCCAUCACCAAGCUCUACUGUUUGAAGUGAUUGCUGGGGACAGAUGCUGAAAGGAACCACAUCAGUCAAUAAAUAAAUCCACCCUCUGGCCUUGCUGCAAGAAUCCCCAGCACUUCCUGCAGUGGGUGGGUUAGGACAGGGGACACCCGUAAACUCCCAACACUCCAGAAGUUAUGGAUUUUUGAGAUCAGAUGAAGAAAUGUUAUGAAAACAUCUGGGUGGGUCUCAGACUGAUUCUUGAGUGAUUCAUAACCAGAAAUGUCUAGAGUGCAAAGUUCUCAUCCAGGUACAACCCUGCCUCAUUCCCAUCACCUCCCAGCCUAAACUUUCCUUUGAGUAGUGCUUCUAGAAAUUUCUUUACUCAAAUAUAAGUGUCUUUAACACCAGAAGACUCCCACCCCUAAUGCAUUUUAUCAAGUGCUCUAGAUUUUUUAGGGAGCAUUCUUGGGGUGGGUGGGUAGGAAGAGAGCACCCAAGACCAAUCCUGGGGACCCAAACACAAGGGACAGCAGGAAAGGAGCAGGCGUGUCCUCCCCCACUUUAGGACCACACUGCCUCAUUCUUACAAGAGAGGCCAUCUUUUAAAUGGCUUCUGUUCAAAACUCCCUCCUGCCCCUCUUGAAAUUUCACAGCUGUGAGACAGAGAUUUUGAAAGGCGGAAAGACAAGGGGGAUUUUUUCCUUCCUUCAACUGCCGUUUCCCAAGUGGUAUUAAUAAACAUCCGAGCUUCAAAAACUUAACUUGAUGUUUCUACACCCUUCCCCUUACUGGGAAGGGGUUGGGUUCCCCUGGGUUUCUGUCUUGGAGAAUGUCCUACUCCAGUGAGCUUUGUGGUGUGUGCACUGCACAUGUGGAUUUCCAUGUACUUCUGAAAUGCAUAUAAAAUUGCAUUUUAGCUUUUAUACGUGCCCAGUAUUGGGAAACUGGUCCUUAUUCUAGAGACAGACAUCUCAAAAGCAUGAGCCCAAAGAUCAGUAACAUAGGGCAUAGAAGAUAAAAAUACACAUAGUCUCUAAACAAAACGACUGGUAGUUUUGGGUCUCAGCUGUCCUAUAAGCCAUCAGUGUGAUCUUGGUUAUGCCACCUAUUCAUUCUGUCUAUUUUUUUCACUUGUGAAAUGAGGAUAAUAAUACUUGCAUGCAAUAAACCUUGAGAUUUAAAUUUAAAUAGGUAACGCAUUUAAAUCACUUGCAUACAUCCUGUCCAAUAAAUAAUUAUUAUUCAUAAUUUAAUAAUAGCAUGCAUAGCUACUGAAAUAGGAUGGGAAAAGAUAGUGGGAGGAGAAGGACAGAGGAGUGACAGAUGGAAGACAAUGGGUUUUGGAUGUCCAGGCAUUUGAACAUCGCUAAGACAAGGACUUACGGGCAGGAAAUUUAAACAUAGAGAAUAGAGUGAAAAGUAUCAGCGAAGACCUGUGAACACCCAGAUCCUUGAAGAGUCCCUAUCUGGAAGCCAUUGUCCUAUUCCAAACGACCCAGGGUGGCAAACCCACGGGAUGGUAACUUAAGACAUGUGCCUGGCACAUGUUGGAUCCCCAGCCUGCACUUGCAGCUGGAGGUUCUUUGUUGACGUCACCCACAUGGAAAUAUGGAUCUCGAGGUGACCUGCAUUCCACGUGACAUGAGACUGUGACUAGGGAGGGGACAACAUUACCAUGAGUAACUCUGCUCCAUUUCCUACCUGGCCUGGGGACAGGUGACACUUGGGGGGCGCUCACGUGCAUCCAGAGGAACGCAGUCACUUUCCCAUCCCCUCCGGAGAACACACGAUGACACUUUUAAAGACAUCUGUGAGAGCUCAUUUCAUAGACAACUCCGUACCUGCCACGUUGCUUGAUUUGAUGGUGUGAGAAAGGCGGUGUGCUAGAGGAGGAGCAGGACUUUUGAACCCAGGCACUGUAAGGUUGAAUUCUUUCUUUCUUUAUGCCUACUGUCAUGUGAUUAGCAAGACCACUACUGGAGUUUGGCUGCCUUGUGCCUAAAACCAAGGCUACUAAUCCAUCCCAACUUGUGUGAUUGGCAGAGAGACUGAGCUAAUAAUCAUGCCACAUGCUAAAGACUGUAACAGGCAAACAGUAAGAGACAGGGACUUGAUUUGCUGAGGCUAUUUUGUCUGAUGAGUGGAGAUCUGUAAGUGCAUGCACCUGGCUAUACUUCUCCUUGGUUAGGAAUUCCAUUAGUGAUUUGAGAGUUCAGAAAUACCAGGGUGGAUAAAGGAAUCUGGAGAAGACACAGAUGCCUGAUUUUCUAAGACUGAGCUUGACAUGUGUCAUCACCCUGCUGAAAAUUUCCCCCUGUUCCCAAUCACUUUCAGAAUGAAGUCUCCCCUUCCUCUUCCACUGCUGAGGGUUCUUUUGUUCAGUUUGGAUAGAAAACAUUAAGAAGCAAAAUGUGGCUCUUUAGUAUCAACAUCCUUAAACUUUGAAUGCCAGCAAGUGUCAGGGUGUUUAGUACUUAGUGUUUAGUCAGUGAUCUGUCUGGAGGAAGGAAGGAACAGUAGUGUAUGAAUAUUUCUUUUAGGAAGAUUUCCAUUUUAAAGCAGAAAAACUGGAAUUUAAAAAAGCAGAAGAAUAAAGAAAUGACAUACAGAACGUCAA